RNAcentral lists this ribosomal RNA (460 nucleotides) under uncultured bacterium. Its description in RNAcentral is "partial 16S ribosomal RNA". It matches the Rfam family "Bacterial small subunit ribosomal RNA", at positions 338 to 795 of the family's 1533-position model. The record is from RNAcentral.
CCUACGGGUGGCAGCAGUGAGGAAUAUUGGUCAAUGGACGCGAGCCUGAACCAGCCAAGUAGCGUGAAGGAUGACUGCCCUACGGGUUGUAACCUUCUUUUAUAAAGGAAUAAAGUGAGACACGUGUGCCUUUUUGUAUGUACUUUAUGAAUAAGGAUCGGCUAACUCCGUGCCAGCAGCCGCGGUAAUACGGAGGAUCCGAGCGUUAUCCGGAUUUAUUGGGUUUAAAGGGAGCGUAGAUGGGUUGUUAAGUCAGGUGUGAAAGUUUGCGGCUCAACCGUAAAAUUGCAAUUGAUACUGGCAUGCUUGAGUACAGUUGAGGUAGGCGGAAUUCGUGGUGUAGCGGUGAAAUGCUUAGAUAUCACGAAGAACUCCGAUUGCGAAGGCAGCUUACUAAACUGCAACUGACAUUGAGGCUCGAAAGUGUGGGUAUCAAACAGGAUUAGAUACCCGUGUAGUC